Molecule: ribosomal RNA, 458 nt
Filed under: uncultured bacterium
Lineage: Bacteria
Description: partial 16S ribosomal RNA
Rfam family: Bacterial small subunit ribosomal RNA
Source: RNAcentral
CCUACGGGUGGCAGCAGCGAGGAAUAUUGGGCAAUGGGCGAGAGCCUGAACCAGCAAAGUCGCGUGAGGGAGUACUUCCCUAUGGGUUGUAAACCUCUUUUGUCGGGGAGCAAAAGCCGGACGUGUCCGGCUGUGAGCGUACCCGAAGAAAAAGCAUCAGCUAACUCCGUGCCAGCAGCCGCGGUAAUACGGAGGAUGCGAGCGUUAUCUGGAUUUAUUGGGUUUAAAGCGUGCGCAGGCGGAUUUUUAAGUCAGCGGUAAAAUCGUGGGGCUCAACCCCAUCCAGCCGUUGAAACUGGGGAUCUAGAGGGUGCGAGAGGUAUGCGGAAUGCGUGGUGUAGCGGUGAAAUGCAUAGAUAUCACGCAGAACCCCGAUUGCGAAGGCAGCAUACCGGUGCACAACUGACGCUCAGGCACGAAAGCGUGGGUAUCGAACAGGAUUAGAUACCCCUGUAGUC